UACGUAGGGGGCUAGCGUUGUCCGGAAUCAUUGGGCGUAAAGCGCGCGUAGGUGGCCCUGUAAGUCCGUUGUGAAAGUCAAAGGCUCAACCUUUGAAAGCCGAUGGAUACUGCAGGACUAGAGUACGGAAGAGGCGAGUGGAAUUCCUGGUGUAGCGGUGGAAUGCGCAGAUAUCAGGAGGAACACCAAUAGCGAAGGCAGCUCGCUGGGACGUUACUGACACUGAGGCGCGAAAGCGUGGGGAGCGAACAGG
This 253-nucleotide ribosomal RNA is filed under the name uncultured bacterium. RNAcentral's name for it is "partial 16S ribosomal RNA". It matches the Rfam family "Bacterial small subunit ribosomal RNA", at positions 524 to 776 of the family's 1533-position model. The record is from RNAcentral.